UUUUUAUGAGAGUUUGAUCCUGGCUCAGGACGAACGCUGGCGGCGUGCCUAAUACAUGCAAGUCGUACGCUUCUUUUUCCACCGGAGCUUGCUCCACCGGAAAAAGAGGAGUGGCGAACGGGUGAGU
Molecule: ribosomal RNA, 127 nt
Filed under: Enterococcus faecium
Lineage: Bacteria; Bacillati; Bacillota; Bacilli; Lactobacillales; Enterococcaceae
Description: partial 16S ribosomal RNA
Rfam family: Bacterial small subunit ribosomal RNA
Source: RNAcentral